This 139-nucleotide small nucleolar RNA is filed under the name Drosophila virilis. Its description in RNAcentral is "snoRNA:GJ25438". The record is from RNAcentral. Lineage: Eukaryota; Metazoa; Arthropoda; Insecta; Diptera; Drosophilidae.
AGUCCACCUCAAUGCCAGGCAGCUUAUUUCUUGUGCUGUGCUGAGCAUUCAUUAAAACGGACUUAUAAAAAUAUUGUUUUAAUAUCCUAGUGCCUGAAGAUUUCGUUCUCUUCUUGCUCUCUUGGAACUUAAAACGACA